UAAGUGGGACCUGGCCGAGGUGGGGUGCGGGGAGGGACCUCUGGACUGAACUCCUCAUCUGCCCCAGCCCCGAGUGCGAGAUUGAGCGUCCUGAGCGCCUGACCGCAGCCCUGGACCGCCUGCGGCAGCGCGGCCUGGAACAGAGGUGUCUGCUGUUGUCAGCCCGCGAGGCCUCGGAAGAGGAGCUGGGCCUGGUGCACAGCCCAGAGUAUGUAUCCCUGGUCAGGGAGACCCAGGUCCUAGGCAAGGAGGAGCUGCAGGCGCUGUCCGGACAGUUCGACGCCAUCUGCUUCCACCCGGUGCGUGUCCCCGGACACACUCACCUGUGCACACACAUGCACGUGCCUCUGCGCGUUCACAGCCAUGGCCGCCAACCCCAGCCGGUGUCCCCUGGUCCAUACACGUGACAUUGCCCUGCACACCUGCUUGCUGGCACUGCCAGAGCCUGGGGCUGGCCUGUUCUGCUC
Molecule: small RNA, 467 nt
Filed under: Pongo abelii (Sumatran orangutan)
Lineage: Eukaryota; Metazoa; Chordata; Mammalia; Primates; Hominidae
Description: retained intron
Source: RNAcentral